Molecule: ribosomal RNA, 253 nt
Filed under: uncultured bacterium
Lineage: Bacteria
Description: partial 16S ribosomal RNA
Rfam family: Bacterial small subunit ribosomal RNA
Source: RNAcentral
UACGGGGGGGGCAAGCGUUGUUCGGAAUUACUGGGCGUAAAGGGCUCGUAGACGGCCAACUAAGUCAGACGUGAAAUCCCUCGGCUUAACCGAGGAAGUGCAUCCGAAACUGAGCAGCUAGAGUACGAAAGAGGGUCGCGGAAUUCCCGGUGUAGAGGUGAAAUUCGUAGAUAUCGGGAGGAACACCGGUGGCGAAGGCGGCGACCUGGGUCGAGACUGACGCUGAGGCGCGAAAGCGUGGGGAGCAAACAGG